This 719-nucleotide long non-coding RNA is filed under the name Brassica napus (rape). RNAcentral describes it as "long non-coding RNA (BNAP_LNC026754)". The record is from RNAcentral. Lineage: Eukaryota; Viridiplantae; Streptophyta; Magnoliopsida; Brassicales; Brassicaceae.
GUCACCAAGAGAGAGAAGGAAAUAAAGAAGAGGAGAGAAGAGAAAUAAAAGAAAAGAAAAAGAUAAAAAGAAAAAGAUAAAAAGAAAAUAAAUAAAUUUAGAGAAUUGUUUAGAGAAGCAAAACGUAUUAAAUUACGAGAUUUUGGGAAUAUCAGUACGGAAUCAAGACGAAGGUUUGGAGUGGUUAAGAAGGGUUUGGUCAACUUCCGGAAUCAGAAAGUCAAGCCACAUCGGUUAAUCACUUUGAGUCACGAUUAAUUGUUUGUUAACAAAUUUUUAGUGCAGGUUCUUGACAUCGAAAACGGCUUCCGAGCUAGGAUAGCCGGACCGGUGUAGGUGUCAGUUUGUGGAUCUCAGGCUUGAGACGAUGUCUGGGCUAAGUGGAUAGCAAGACUAGUCUAAGCACCCGGAUUAUUGUGAUUGUGUGAUUAUUAUAUGUUGUUAUAGUGUGUACCUCGUGUUGGUACUGUUGUGUGAGAACCUCGUGGUGGUUCUAGUAGUAGUUUCCAGGUCAUUGCUUCCUCAAAUAGGACCACUAAGACGGUCGUGGUCCGGAAAGUGGAGGGCUCGGUUUAACUUGGCUUGAUCACCAAGGCCGAGUGUCACACGUGGAUGUUACAGCCCCCGGUGAGUCCGAUAGAGGACCGGGGCACGGCGAUUCCGAUUGAGGACCGUGACCGGGCAAUUUCCGAACGCCUACGCCUGUGUGUUGUAAUAAU